GACGAACGCUGGCGGCGUGCUUGACACAUGCAAGUCGAACGGAAAGGCCUGCUUUCCCUUGUGGAUUGCGGGUACUCGAGUGGCGAACGGGUGAGUAACACGUGAGUGAUCUGCCCCCAACUUGGGUAUAAGCCUGGGAAACUGGGUCUAAUUCCCGAUAGGACUGCAGGGUGGUGCCUGUGGUGGAAAACGAUUUUCUAGUGGUUGGGGAUGAGCUCGCGGCCUAUCAGCUUGUUGGUGGGGUAAUGGCCUACCAAGGCGGCGACGGGUAGCCGGCCUGGGAGGGUGGACGGGCACAUUGGGACUGAGAUACGGCCCAGACUCCGACGGGAGGCAGCAGUGGGGAAUAGUGCACAAUGGGCGGAAGCCUGAUGCAGCGACGCCGCGUGGGCGAUGACGGCCUUCGGGUUGUAAACUCCUUUCGACAGCGAGGAAGCCACCUGGUUGGAAGGGUGGUGACGGUAGUGGUAGAAGAAGCACCGGCUAACUACGUG
Molecule: ribosomal RNA, 494 nt
Filed under: uncultured bacterium
Lineage: Bacteria
Description: partial 16S ribosomal RNA
Rfam family: Bacterial small subunit ribosomal RNA
Source: RNAcentral